RNAcentral lists this ribosomal RNA (463 nucleotides) under uncultured Comamonadaceae bacterium. RNAcentral's name for it is "bacterial SSU rRNA". It matches the Rfam family "Bacterial small subunit ribosomal RNA", at positions 920 to 1382 of the family's 1533-position model. Lineage: Bacteria; Pseudomonadati; Pseudomonadota; Betaproteobacteria; Burkholderiales; Comamonadaceae. The record is from RNAcentral.
CCCGCACAAGCGGUGGAGUAUGUGGUUUAAUUCGAUGCAACGCGAAAAACCUUACCCACCUUUGACAUGUACCGGAACCCUCUAGAGAUGGAGGGGUGCCCGAAAGGGAGCCGUAACACAGGUGCUGCAUGGCUGUCGUCAGCUCGUGUCGUGAGAUGUUGGGUUAAGUCCCGCAACGAGCGCAACCCUUGUCAUUAGUUGCUACAUUUAGUUGGGCACUCUAAUGAGACUGCCGGUGACAAACCGGAGGAAGGUGGGGAUGACGUCAAGUCCUCAUGGCCCUUAUAGGUGGGGCUACACACGUCAUACAAUGGCCGGUACAAAGGGCUGCCAACCCGCGAGGGGGAGCUAAUCCCAUAAAACCGGUCGUAGUCCGGAUCGUAGUCUGCAACUCGACCCCAUGAAGUCGGAAUCGCUAGUAAUCGCGGAUCAGCACGCCGCGGUGAAUACGUUCCCGGGCCUU